UUCAUCUGGCCAUGAACAUCCCAAAGAUUUAGACGGACAAAUGCAGGAUACUUUUCUUCCAAAUAUAGGAAUACAGGAAAAUGUCUUGUCUUUGCAAAGCAAUUUGGAUGAAAAAACAAAGGCAGAUGAGGCAAAUACGAGUGAGAUGGAAACACUCCUGAAUCUUUAUGAACUGCGGGUAACUGAAAUCACAGCAUGUGGUAAAGAAACAUUCAAACCAGGUAGUGAAUCAUGUGAUUUGGAGCUAGUUGCAGAGAUUAAGAAAGAGGUGGUUAUUGAGAGUAAUGCCAAGGUUGUAACCGCCAAAAAUCAAGAUAUUAUUAAGGUUGAAUCUAAAGACCAUGACAUGUUGGAUAUGCCUCCAAAAUCUGAUAAUAAAAGCAACACAAAGGUUGCUGACAAAAUGGCCAUGGAUAAAGGGAAUAAAGGGUCUUGGUCUAAAGGUAAAAGCCCUCUUUCCAAACUCUUCACAUCUGGUCCAAUUAGGAAAGAGAACAAAAGUGAGACAAAAACGGAAAGCAAAAGAUCCGGUAUAAAACCUAGAAAUUUACUGGGCAGACUCUUUUCAUCCUCUGAAACAGAGUCAGAAAUAAAGAAAACACCAGAUAUCAAAAUAGAAACUACAUGUGAGAAAGAGCCAGAGACAACUGAAGGGACAGAAUAUGACACUGCAUUGAUUCAAAAAAAUGUUUCUGUAUCUCUUCCUCUGACUGAGCCCUCCUUUCAAAAUACACCUCAUGAGCCCAGAAAACCAACAGAAAACCAACUAAGUGAUGCUGCAGAAGAACUUAAUCCAACAGAGGGCCUUGAAAAUCACAUUUUAUUGCUUAAUGGAAACUCUGCUGAUGACACGGUGCCAUUAACAGAUCUCGAGUCAAUUGAACAACACAAGCCCGCUUCUGGUGGUCUUUGGGAGAUUGAUAGAAAUGAGGCUCUUAUUCCUUCACAAGAACACAUUCAUGUAGAUCUCACCUCUCCAGACUCUUCAAAACCAUCAGGUCUUGAAGAGAGCCUCAACUCCUCUUUGCCUCAGAAUGAAGAUACAACUGGUUUUCUUGAUUCAUCUGAUGCAUUUACAUCUCAAGUAACAAACUCGAACACAGAUGUUGUGGCUUUUUCAGGUUCAAAUAUACUUGAUUAUACACACAGUGGCAAAUUGACAGACAUUAUGGAUUUGGAAACACCAUCAGUGGAAACUCCAUUAGUAGAUAUAGCGAGCUCCUUUAUUCAAGAAGACCCAUUUGGAGCUCAAGAAGAAAGUGAAGAUACAACAUUAAGC
Molecule: long non-coding RNA, 1279 nt
Filed under: Sinocyclocheilus grahami
Lineage: Eukaryota; Metazoa; Chordata; Actinopteri; Cypriniformes; Cyprinidae
Description: lncRNA (ENSSGRG00000050929.1)
Source: RNAcentral